This is a long non-coding RNA of Capra hircus (goat), 459 nucleotides long. RefSeq lists it as uncharacterized. NCBI's taxonomy places the organism in Eukaryota, Metazoa, Chordata, Mammalia, Artiodactyla, Bovidae. The record is from RefSeq and is a predicted model, not a curated record. The transcript is spliced from 5 exons.
CAGGGAUCAUAGCACCGGAGCUGGGGAGAGGCUGGGCUUCUUAAUUGGCCUUCAUCCAGAUCUAGAGGAUUUAACUCUAGUGUAUGAGAGAUGUUUGACCUCGAGAUCAUGAUCGCCAUUGGGAGCGCCUUACUGAUUACAGCUUUCGUGCUCAUAGGUGUCGUCAUCUGUCUUUACUACAAAGUAGCCAACACGUUAAAUGCUGCAAAGACACCCAUCGCUACGACCAUUACCUGUAGAGAUCAAGAUAAGGUCACCGAGGCUGUAACCUCCAGCCCCGAGUCUUACCCCAGCUUCCAGUGCUGUGAAGACUGUAACUUGCCUGCCAACUUUGAUCCCCUGACAUCGUGCUUCUGUGACAUAAACAAGGGACUCAAUACAGAAUGAGUAAUAGAAGGUGGUUAUAAACACCAACUGCCACCAUCUGACUAGUUACAGAAACAAGGACUCUGUUGUGAA